UGCUUUUGCCGGGGACAGAACAGGAAUGGAGUCUUAGAACUUAUGAGGACCAGUGACAGAACUUGCGACCCCAGCCAAUGGCCUGGAGAAUGGAUACCCCAUCGACUGGUGACCUGGCGACCCGGAAGCCCAGCUCAGGAGUCACAGCCGGUUCUGGCCAGUGGGAGGACAAUGGGCUGUGGAGAGAGGACCCCGGUGACCUGACCAGGUGGUUUCAGCCAGAGGGGGCCAAAGCACAGAAGAGAGGAGAGGAGGCCCAGGUGACCCUGUUUACCUGGACAGAAGACAAUGGACGGAGGAGGGGCUUGGGACUGGUGAUAUCAGAUGCCCAGCUGGGAAGCAGAGGGGGUCGGGACUGGAGAGAGGGAGCAGGCAGAGUCCACCUCGAUGUAGGGGAGACUUAGAUGUGCUGUGCUGAGGGGGGCCAGGCCUGAGGGCCCUGAGAGUUCCCGAUGCUGUGUUCAGACGCUCAGUAAACCCUCCUGUUUUACGCUGGCUGAGAGUCACUCCAGUCUAGAGAACAGGGUUGUAUUAUUCCCUCUGGGAGUGGAGACCCCCGGGGUCCAGAGCAAGUGGACAUCCAGAGAGGGCCCACCCCGCAAGAAACAAGUGUGCU
Long non-coding RNA from Chelonia mydas (Green sea turtle), 616 nucleotides. RefSeq lists it as uncharacterized. The transcript is spliced from 3 exons. Lineage: Eukaryota; Metazoa; Chordata; Testudines; Cheloniidae. The record is from RefSeq and is a predicted model, not a curated record.